CCUACGGGCGGCAGCAGUAGGGAAUUUUGCGCAAUGGGCGAAAGCCUGACGCAGCAACACCGCGUGAAUGUUAAGCCCUUCGGGGUGUAAAGUUCUGUCAAUAGGGACGAAUUUUGACUGUACCUAUAAAGGACGCACCGUCUAACUACGUGCCAGCAGCCGCGGUAAUACGUAGGGGGCAAGCUUUCUCCGGAUUCAUUGGGUGUAAAGGGAGCGGAGACGGCGGGACCAGUCGGGAGUGAAAGGCCGGGGGCCAACCCCGGGACUGCUCUGGAAACUGCCUGGCGGGAGUACAGGAGGGUAAGUGGAAUUCCUAGUGUAGCGGUGAAAUGCGUAGAUAUUAGGAGGAACACCAGUGGCGAAGGCGGCUUACUGGACUGUAACUGACGUUGAGGCUCGAAAGCGUGGGGAGCAAACAGGAUGAGAUACCCCAGUAGUC
Molecule: ribosomal RNA, 439 nt
Filed under: uncultured bacterium
Lineage: Bacteria
Description: partial 16S ribosomal RNA
Rfam family: Bacterial small subunit ribosomal RNA
Source: RNAcentral